This 257-nucleotide ribosomal RNA is filed under the name uncultured bacterium. RNAcentral describes it as "partial 16S ribosomal RNA". It matches the Rfam family "Bacterial small subunit ribosomal RNA", at positions 793 to 1055 of the family's 1533-position model. The record is from RNAcentral.
GUCCACACAGUAAACGAUGAAUACUCGCUGUUGGCGAUAUACAGUCAGCGGCCAAGCGAAAGCAUUAAGUAUUCCACCUGGGGAGUACGCUGGCAACGGUGAAACUCAAAGGAAUUGACGGGGGCCCGCACAAGCGGAGGAACAUGUGGUUUAAUUCGAUGAUACGCGAGGAACCUUACCCGGGCUUAAAUUGCAACUGACUGAAUCGGAAACGGUUCUUUCUUCGGACAGUUGUGAAGGUGCUGCAUGGUUGUCGU